CAAAACUAAACAAUAAAGCUAUUGCAUUCCAAUAAAUAAAACCUUAGACAUUUUACAUCCUAGGAUUUUUUAAAAGUUUUAAUGUGUUGCUGAGUUAUCUUUUAUAUUAUCUGAACAAUACUGUUGUUAUAUGCAGCCAUAAAAAUCAGACAGUUUACUUGUUUAUUUUAAAAAUGAGUUUGUUACUUUUUUGGCUUUACUAUUAUUUCAUCUGUCUACCCAUCUAAGUAAAUGUGAUUACUGGUAAGCAAGACAUAAAAAUUUAAACUUAUUUUAAGUAUCUUCCUAGU
Molecule: long non-coding RNA, 290 nt
Filed under: Homo sapiens (human)
Lineage: Eukaryota; Metazoa; Chordata; Mammalia; Primates; Hominidae
Description: non-protein coding lnc-CHODL-12:1
Source: RNAcentral